This 1176-nucleotide ribosomal RNA is filed under the name Escherichia coli. RNAcentral's name for it is "partial 23S ribosomal RNA". It matches the Rfam family "Bacterial large subunit ribosomal RNA", at positions 165 to 1379 of the family's 2925-position model. The record is from RNAcentral. Lineage: Bacteria; Pseudomonadati; Pseudomonadota; Gammaproteobacteria; Enterobacterales; Enterobacteriaceae.
CAUAGGUUAAUGAGGCGAACCGGGGGAACUGAAACAUCUAAGUACCCCGAGGAAAAGAAAUCAACCGAGAUUCCCCCAGUAGCGGCGAGCGAACGGGGAGCAGCCCAGAGCCUGAAUCAGUGUGUGUGUUAGUGGAAGCGUCUGGAAAGGCGCGCGAUACAGGGUGACAGCCCCGUACACAAAAAUGCACAUACUGUGAGCUCGAUGAGUAGGGCGGGACACGUGGUAUCCUGUCUGAAUAUGGGGGGACCAUCCUCCAAGGCUAAAUACUCCUGACUGACCGAUAGUGAACCAGUACCGUGAGGGAAAGGCGAAAAGAACCCCGGCGAGGGGAGUGAAAAAGAACCUGAAACCGUGUACGUACAAGCAGUGGGAGCACGCUUAGGCGUGUGACUGCGUACCUUUUGUAUAAUGGGUCAGCGACUUAUAUUCUGUAGCAAGGUUAACCGAAUAGGGGAGCCGAAGGGAAACCGAGUCUUAACUGGGCGUUAAGUUGCAGGGUAUAGACCCGAAACCCGGUGAUCUAGCCAUGGGCAGGUUGAAGGUUGGGUAACACUAACUGGAGGACCGAACCGACUAAUGUUGAAAAAUUAGCGGAUGACUUGUGGCUGGGGGUGAAAGGCCAAUCAAACCGGGAGAUAGCUGGUUCUCCCCGAAAGCUAUUUAGGUAGCGCCUCGUGAAUUCAUCUCCGGGGGUAGAGCACUGUUUCGGCAAGGGGGUCAUCCCGACUUACCAACCCGAUGCAAACUGCGAAUACCGGAGAAUGUUAUCACGGGAGACACACGGCGGGUGCUAACGUCCGUCGUGAAGAGGGAAACAACCCAGACCGCCAGCUAAGGUCCCAAAGUCAUGGUUAAGUGGGAAACGAUGUGGGAAGGCCCAGACAGCCAGGAUGUUGGCUUAGAAGCAGCCAUCAUUUAAAGAAAGCGUAAUAGCUCACUGGUCGAGUCGGCCUGCGCGGAAGAUGUAACGGGGCUAAACCAUGCACCGAAGCUGCGGCAGCGACGCUGAUGCGUUGUUGGGUAGGGGAGCGUUCUGUAAGCCUGUGAAGGUGUGCUGUGAGGCAUGCUGGAGGUAUCAGAAGUGCGAAUGCUGACAUAAGUAACGAUAAAGCGGGUGAAAAGCCCGCUCGCCGGAAGACCAAGGGUUCCUGUCCAACGUUAAUCGGGGCAGGG